Molecule: ribosomal RNA, 633 nt
Filed under: Triticum aestivum (bread wheat)
Lineage: Eukaryota; Viridiplantae; Streptophyta; Magnoliopsida; Poales; Poaceae
Description: partial small subunit ribosomal RNA
Source: RNAcentral
AUGACCAGCAAACCCGUCCCUGCCCUACCCCAGGCCGCCUCCUGCGACAGCGACGGCCGGAGCAGUAGCAGCAGCAAUGGCAAUGGCAUCCGCACUUUUGGUCCAAGGGACGUCAAGAACCAAUUUCACAUAUACAAUAUCAAAGAUGAGAUCCGAGCACUUCUUGCCAAGGUCGACAAGAUCUACGGCCGGCUGCAGCUCGACGAGGGUUUACUACUGGACAAGGGUGUGUGCUGCUGCCCGCCGGCGGUAGAACGACGACGGCGAAGAGGAGGAGAGCAGGAUUUAGACUUUAACAAGCUCGACGGCCUCGUCGCCUUCCUGACCUGCCUCUUCCCAUACCUCCCCGACGCGGAGGCCCGGCUGUACCUUGACGCCGCGGAGGCGGACCCCUUUGUGGCCUCGCUCUUCAUCAUCGGCAGGCGUGGGAUGCGGGAGUUCGACUUCAGCUCCAAGACCACCGAGGCAGCGGUGGAGGCCGCCCUCAGAUGUGCGGCGGUUGCCGCCAAGCACCCAGACCCGCAGGGGCUCGUGAGAGGGUGGAAGCUGCUUUCGCCUGCCGUGGAAGCGUUCAGCUCCGCGCCAUCACCGAGGAGGCAGCAUGACGACAACUUCGCGCACAGAAGGUCUUGA